UUGGUUUUGUGUGAAUUUUCACAAUAAUUCUCAAAAAACUGGAGGGACUGAUAUAAUUGGGCAGUGAACAGAUAAAAGCUGCAUUGAGUUGACUGAUAACAUAAUAUUUAAGCACACUUAGUGUUCAGUUAGGAAUCUAGAGGCCACAUAAAAAGCUGUGGCGGGCCGGAUUUGGCCCACGGACCUCAAGUUUGACACACGCAAUCUAAAGAUUUUUU
Molecule: long non-coding RNA, 218 nt
Organism: Poecilia latipinna (sailfin molly)
Lineage: Eukaryota; Metazoa; Chordata; Actinopteri; Cyprinodontiformes; Poeciliidae
Exons: 3
Source: RefSeq, a predicted model, not a curated record